Camelina sativa (false flax) is the source of this 518-nucleotide non-coding RNA. The record is from RefSeq and is a predicted model, not a curated record. Lineage: Eukaryota; Viridiplantae; Streptophyta; Magnoliopsida; Brassicales; Brassicaceae.
UUUCAUCGCCGCGGUCAUCUGGUUCAUCGGUACUACCAAAAAGUCUCAUGAUGUGUCUCAGGUAAAAAAAAGGUUAUUAACAAAAUGGAGAUAAAGAUUAGAAGAAGGUGGUGUCAAUCGUAUCUGUUAUAUAAUCUAUUCAAAUUAAUGUGAAAGGUGGAUCCCUCAAAUUAAUGCAGUUAGAUCGAUGGUAAAAUUUGUUAUGUCACAUCUUUGUUUCCUCAUCUGCGCGAUUCUUCUCUUUAGUUUGGAUUUUGCUUUUCGUCUAUCUAGAAAUGCGGUAUAGGCAAAGCAGCCUGCGGCCGAUAAUAUUAACAUUUAUUUUCGGCUACUUUUCAGCAAAAGUCCAGCGGUUUAAUGACGUAAGUUCUAUUGUUCAAACCUCCAAAAUUCAGGGACAGCUAUGCUAUAGAUUUGUUAGUUCCUCAUAUUUGUUGUCUCGUGGUUUACUGCAAAGAAUGAAAGCAUUUUUUUUUGCUAAUGUACUGUGCGACAAAACUUAUUGCACGCAAACAUGU